Long non-coding RNA from Hirundo rustica (Barn swallow), 1349 nucleotides. RefSeq lists it as uncharacterized. The record is from RefSeq and is a predicted model, not a curated record. The transcript has 2 exons. Lineage: Eukaryota; Metazoa; Chordata; Aves; Passeriformes; Hirundinidae.
CGCUGUUGCCAUGGUGGCGCCGAGGCCUGAGGGGCGCCGGGCCCGGGGAGGCCGCGGGGGCCGGGGCGGCUCCUCUGGAUCUCGGCCCUUUGGGCCCGGGAGCGAUUUAGAGCCGUGGGGUGGGUGCGGUGUCACCGCUGGGGUGACCCCCGGGGGGUACCAGCGGCACAAGGGGAGCACGUCUCGCAGCUGCCCCAAACGUCGCACAAGUAACGCUGAGCGGCGCCAGGACUGAGUUAAGGAACCGGAGAGCCGGAAACGGAGCAUUUAACCUGUCGUUGGCUUGUUAAUUGUUCGGUAAAUUUCCUGCUGGGUGCUGCGUUAACCAACAGGCUGAAGUGCAUUGGACUGGUAGUGGCUUAUAAAAGUGUGCUCAAAGAGCUGCCUCAGAUCGAGUUCUACUUGUUAACACCAGCUCCAGGCGAAUUUAGAGGGGACCACCAAGUUGAUGAGAGGGAUGAAGCACUUCUGUGAGGAAAGGCUGAGAAAAUUGGGAUUGUUCAGCCUGGGAGAGAGAUAGCUUUGAGUGACCCAACUUCCAGUACCUGAAGGGAGCUUACUGAAAAGAUGGGGCAAGACUCGACAAGGGCGUGCGAUCAAAUUCCUGCAGGCGGUGACCAUCAGAUCAGCUGUGGCUACAGAAAGCCCCGAUCACCUGCCCGGGUGUCACAGCUGACCCUGAGCAGGGCGUUGAGCUUCAGAGCCUCCUGGCGUCCUGUGCAACCCGAAUUCCUGUGUGAAUCACCACCGGAUCACCCGGGCUGCCUCACCCCAAUGGCAGGGGGUGCAACUGGAUGGGCUUUGAGGUCCCUCCCAAGCCAAACCAUGCCAGGAUUCCAUGGUUCAGCAGCCAGGGCUUUAGCUGAGCUGUCAGUGAUGGUCACUGUGUUACAGAUUCACCACUCUGUUAAAUCUGCUUCCCAUUGGCCACUUGUACAAAGCAGGAAACAUCUGAUUUAAAAUUCCUCUGCUGGCAACACAAUAAUGGCAUCUUGCUUUCAGACUCUCCUAGAAGCUUCUUUGUUUUAUGUAAUACCAAUUACAAGGAAGGCAGGGUUUCAAAUCACACCUAAAAAUUGUUGAGUGCACCCACGUUGAUAAAGAGUUUCUGUGUUAGUGAAUUCCCAGAAAUUCCCAGAAUCGUAGAAUAUCCUGAGUUGUAAUAGACCCACAAGGAUCAUCAAGGUCUGAAUCCUGUCAUCAAAUAAAUUGUAUUUGCAGAGUUGGCUCUUGGGAAGACUGCCCUUCAGGUUUGAAUAUUAGUUUGCUGAACUGUUCUCUUGAGAAACUCAUUAAAAAAUGGUGUGAUGUUAUUUUAACAUGAUAAAGGAUUGAAUUAAGAUGCUUAA